Molecule: RNA transcript, 6287 nt
Organism: Cyprinus carpio (common carp)
Lineage: Eukaryota; Metazoa; Chordata; Actinopteri; Cypriniformes; Cyprinidae
Gene name: forkhead box protein O1-A-like
Exons: 8
Source: RefSeq, a predicted model, not a curated record
AGUAAGAGCACUUAGAGUUUUAGUACACAGACAUUCAACAAGCGACAGCAGCAGGACUAUCGCAUAAUACUGGACUGGACUGGAUUACAAAACUUUAUAACAACACCAAUCUGAUGUCGUUCUAAUAACAUUGCGACUUUUAAGUCGUUUCCAAUGUAAUUAAGUCAGUUUAAAGUUUGUUCUUUUGCGUUUCACCUCAUAUUUUCUUUUGACAAUCAUAUGUGACAUUUUAAGAGACAAACAGUAUUACUGGUACCAUGGCUGACGCAGCCCAAAACCAGAUGGUCGAGAUCGACCCGGACUUCGAGCCGCUCUCCAGACCACGUUCCUGUACUUGGCCGCUGCCGCGGCCGGAGUUCCCCAACCCCGCUUCCGCCGACUCCAACACAUCGUCCCCGGCUCCGUCAGUCAAGCAAGAGCCCUCCAGCAACUCGGACUUUAUCAACAACCUCAGUUUGCUGGAAGAGAAUGAGGACUUCUCUGAUGAGAAGCCUCUCAUGCUGUGCGGCGAUUUCCAGUGCCAGGAGAACUGCAUCCACCACCAGCAAAUCCCGAGUCACCAGCAACAGGUGCCCGUGCUCUCUUCUCCAGUGGCCGCUGCCGCUGCAGCCGCGGCAGCCGCUCAGCGCAAGAGCAGCUCGUCCAGACGCAACGCCUGGGGGAAUAUGUCAUACGCGGACCUGAUUACCAAAGCCAUCGAGAGCUCCCCCGAAAAACGGCUCACCUUGUCUCAGAUCUACGACUGGAUGGUGAAAAGCGUCCCUUAUUUUAAGGACAAGGGGGAUAGUAACAGCUCCGCUGGUUGGAAGAACUCAAUCAGACACAACCUGUCCCUACAUAGUAGGUUUAUCCGAGUGCAGAAUGAGGGGACAGGUAAGAGCUCUUGGUGGAUGCUCAACCCUGAAGGCGGCAAAAGCGGCAAGUCGCCUAGACGCCGGGCAGCUUCCAUGGACAACAACAGCAAGUUUGCCAAGAGCAGAGGACGAGCAGCAAAGAAAAAGCUGGCUCUUCAGGGAGGGGCUGAGGGGGGCGCAGACAGCCCAGGCUCUCAGUACGGCAAAUGGCCCGGCAGUCCAAACUCCCACAGCAAUGACGACUUUGAUGCCUGGACAGCUUUCCGUCCCCGCACCAGCUCCAAUGCCAGCACACUGAGUGGUCGUCUCUCGCCCUUUAUUGAUGACGAACUUGGCGACUCUGAUGUCCACAUGGUCUACCCAGGCCCUGGGUCAGGUGCCAAAAUGACCUCCACUCUCCCCAGCUUGUCUGAAAUGGCUGGUUCUCUGGGUCACAGGGGCUCUGAGAAUGUGAUGGAGAACCUUCUGGAUAACCUCAACAUGCUCUCACCUAAGAACCCAUCAGUGGGGUCCACAGGAGGGCCUGGGUCAGGAUCCAACCAGUCCUCACCCUCUUCGCUCAUGCAGGUCAGCCCUGGUUACUCCCCCUACAGUUCCCCAGGUCUGGCUGCAGUCAACCAGCAGACCCAACAAGACUAUCAUAAGUGUCUUUACAGUCAGACAGGAAUAGCCAACAUGUCCCCUAUGCCGAUGCAGCCUCUGCCAGAAAGCAAGCCAAGUUUUGUUACUGGCCCAGGAACUAUGGGCCAGUUUAACUGCACAGCAGGGCUGCUGAAGGAGCUUCUUACAUCUGAUGGAGAGCCUGGAAAUCUCAUGCCCUCAGUGGACACGGUCAUCUCCCAGUCAGCUGGAGGCAGUGGAUGUAUGUUGCCUCCCUACAGCAGUGGACGGAAUGAACUUAUGGGAGGUGGAGCAUCUCACAGCCAUACCCUCUCUCAUCCACACAAUAUGCACGGACAAGCCACAUCUCUGGCACUGAAUGGGCGAUCGUUGCACCCUCUGACCGGGAUUGGUCACAGCAGUGCCGGUGGAUGCUUGGGAAAUGUCAAGUCAGCCAUGCAGAUGCAGUAUGGAGGAUCCAGUAACCUUGGAGGUGGGCUUCCUCCUUACUGCAGUGUCAAUAGCAACAGAUAUGGGCGUAGCCCAGGGAUGAUGCCCCACCAGCAACAGCAACACCUGGAGAAACUGCCCAGUGAUCUGGAUGGGAUGCCUGUGGAGCGAUUUGAAUGUGAUGUUGAGUCCAUCUUGCAUGAUACGCUCAUGGACGGAGAAUCGCUGGACUUCAACUUUGACCCUACAGCCACCCAACAGGGGUUCCCAACUCACAGUGUAAAGACCACCACUCACAGCUGGGUGUCUGGGUAAAGAACUCUCAACUGGAGAACAGCAGCGGUCUGGGUGUUGGAUUUCUAUUAUGGUUCGGGCUUCCAGCUGGUAUGCGUCACUAAGAACGAUCUUGACAUUGUGCCCUGAUCUCUCUGCCUUUGGACAACUCCCAGCCAAAGUUAUCUGGAUCCAAUAUACGGGUUAUCCAAUAUAUAUUUCUUAUGAUCCAACAAAUAAUUGUUGAAAUGCCCAGAAAUGGCUCUGAGAGGGUCACCCAAGGACUUGCACUGGGUUCUAGGGGACAAAUAGGUGGUAAAGCUUGAUGCAGUAUGAGAACUGGCAUUUACAGUAUUAUUUUUCUCACAGCUCUCCUGAGUUUUGCCUUGCUCUCCAUCUCAGUCCUUUGUGUAGCAGUGUGGUCCAGCAUUCUCUUUAAACUGCAUGUGUUGACAGAGAGAAGGAGGAAGUGCCGAGUGGAGGGACGCCACCCCGCUGAAGGCCCCUCAUGAGCAGCUCCUGUGGAAUGCAGUGCAUGUGACAACACGUUUUAGCUGCAUUCGCGGUGCAGCUCGAGCUGGAGGCCAUGGAGAAGCAGAUUCGGGUCCUGGAGCAGAGGCAGGCCCAGCUGAGAGAGCGGAGAGCCACGCUGGAAACCUCCCGGGCUGACACUCACAAGUCCGGGGCCUGGUGCAUCCAGGACGCGAUCUUCCCAGAUGUUCUUCACUCCGGCGCCGGGACACCACGGACCCAGGGUACAUCCGCAGUGGAGGACGGGAGCCAGGCCCCGGGCGACAACCUCUACCCCUCCGGUCUUUAAGAUCUUCACAUGGAACCGCUCCGCUCCCAUCCACAAGACGGAACGCAACGCUGUGAUCGUCGGAGACUCCAUCGUCCGACAGUUCCGUGCUACAUUAGACGAAGGUAAAAUGCACACUCACUGUUUCCCUGGUGCUCAUGUUCAUGAUGUUUCUGCGCAGAUACCCGCGAUCCUGAAGGCCGACGAGAGCCCCAGAGCGGUCGUGCUUCACGCCAGGGUUAACGACACCAUGAAGCGGCAGACGGAGACACUGAAGAGGGACUUCAGGAGCCUGAUCGAGAUGGUGCACAGCACAACACCUGCGGCGACGAUCAUUGUGUCACGACCACUCCCCACGUAUCGACGAGGACACGAAAGGUUCAGUAGACUUUUUGCUUUAAAUGAAUGGUUAUUGUCAUGGUGUAAAGAACAGAAACUGCUCUUUGUUAAUAAUUGGAAUCUUUUCUGGGCGCGUCCUAGGCUUUUUCACGCUGAUGGCCUGCACCCCAGCAGUCGGAGCGGAGCAGGAGUCAGAGCGGAGCAUCUUCAGGACUCUACGCUCCAUAUGACUAGUCACCGUAGUCAGCCAGAUCCGGUCUGUAUCCAAAUCAGAUGGUCACUGCAGUCACCCGGAUCCAGUCCAUAUCCAGUCCAUAUGGUGGAUCAGCACCUAGAAAUGACCUCAACAGCUCUGAAUGUCAGCGGAGACCAUGCCAACGAAAUGGAUCCAUAGAGACAGUUCCCUUAUGAAGACCUUGUCACCUUGAUGGCCAUCAGCACAAUCCAUGGGAACCAGAUGAGUUUUCUGCAAAUUUUCUGACUUGUGUUGCAUCUGUUUCAUUAAUCUGUUACAUCUAGUCUGUUUCAUUCUUAUUUCAAGGUCACCGUAGUCAGCCAGAUCCGGUCUGUAUCCAAAUCAGAUGGUCACUGCAGUCACCCGGAUCCAGUCCAUAUCCAGUCCAUAUGGUGGAUCAGCACCUAGAAAUGACCUCAACAGCUCUGAAUGUCAGCGGAGACCAUGUCAACGAGAUGGAUCCAUAGAGACAGUUCCCUUAUGAAGACCUUGUCACCUUGAUGGCCAUCAGCACAAUCCAUGGGAACCAGAUGAGUUUUCUGCAAAAUUCUGACUUGUGUUGCAGCCUGGAAUUAAACCAUGCCAUGCUGGUUUCAUCUGGCCAGAGGAGAAUUGGCACCCUGAGCCUGGUUUCUCCCAAAGUUUUUUUCUCCAUUUUGUCACCGAUGGAUUUUUGGUCACCUUUGGCUUUGGCCUUUGGCUUGCUUAGCUGAGGACACCUAAUUUCUGGCAACAUUGUUGACUUGAUUGCACAGAUACUAUUUGAACUUAACUGAGCUGGAGGAUGACAUCACAAUCAAUGAUCAAUCAGUCAGACAGCAAUGUCACCAAUGCGAAUGUAAGUGGAAGAAAGAGGGGCUUCAAGUGUCAUACGAAAUGCUAAAAGAUUCAUUGCACAUUUUUCAAAAAGGUGCCAAGGCUGCAAAGGCAAAAUAUAUAUCAGGAAGUAUUGCCAAAAACUUACAUUGCUCUAGAACACUUUUCUCAACAAUCGAUUCUGUUUUAAACCCCUCAGUGCAGAUUUUUCCUGAGAUCUCACCUUUGCAAUGUGAAAAUUUUCUUACGCAUUUUGUAGGUAAAGUUAAUAAUGCUAAGGCUCAGUUAGCUAUUAAGGCGAACCCCGUUUUAGAUCCUGUUUUAUCCACGACUAAAUAGAGUGAAUUUGAAUUGGUUUUUAUACAGACAUGCAGAGAAAUCACCUUAAAACUAAAAUCCACCUUUUCCCUCUUUGAUGUUAUUCCAUCACGUUUUGUUAAACAGAUCUUUGAUACCAUUAUUUCAGACCUAGUGAUUAUCAUUAACAACUGUCUAAAGACAGGGACUGUACCAGAAUGUUUUAAAGUAGCUUCUGUGAAACCAAUUUGUAAGAAGCCCACACUAGAUACUGCAGUUUACUCAAACUUUAGACCGAUCUCAAAUUUGCCACUUUUAUCUAAAAUGUAAGAAAAAGUACUACUUAUACAAUUACAACGCUAUUUGAGUACUAACUGUAUCUCUGAUAUUUUUCAGUCUGGUUUUAAAAGUUUACACAGCACAGAGUCUGCCCUUUUGAAUUUCUUUAAUGACAUUUUAAUAUCUAAUGAUUCUGGUAAUACUAUGGCCUUAGUGCUUUUAGAUCUGAGUUCAGCGUUUGAUUUUGUUGACCAUGGUAUUCUGCUAUCUCGCUUGGAGCACUACAUUGGUAUUAGAGGCACUGUACUUGACUGGUUUCGGUCCUUUUUGUCUAACAGAAGAUUUAUUAGUCAGUAUUGGGCAAUAUUCCUCUUCUGUAGCAUAUUCUUCAUGUGGUGUUCCUCAAGGUUCAACUUUGGCGCCAUUAUUGUUCACACUGUACAUGUUACUCAUUGGUUCAAUCUUUAGGAGAUUCAAUGUGUUAUAUCACUGCUAUGCCAAUGACACCCAGCUUAACAUACCACUUAAGCGCAAUGACAACUCUGCAUUAUACCAACUAACAGCCUGUCUCCAAUAAUUAAAAAUAAUUUUCUGCAUUUGUAUGACGAUAAAAGUCAAAUUGUUCUGUUUUGGCCUAACGAGAAAACUGAUCUGAAGAUCGUUGAUCUGGGCUCUCUUUCCCCAUAUUGCUCUGCUGAGGUCAAGGAUCUGGGCUUCAUACUGGACAGCGACCUAAAGCUGAACAAACAAAUUAAUUCUACUGUGAGUGCUGGCUUUAACCAUCUGCAAAGAUUAGCAAAAGUUAAACCCUUCCUAAGCAUGAAGAGUUUUAAAGUUGUCAUUCACACUUUCAUUUCUUCGCGACUUAACUAUUGCAAGUCGCUAUAUUAUGGGCUGCCUGCCCCAUCCAUUCCUUGUCUGCAACUUGCUUGUUUGCUCACAGGCAGUCACAGAAGGAAUCACAUUACGCCUAUCUUGCGUUCAUUGCACUGGUUCCCGAUUACUUAUCGCAUUCAAUAAAAAUUCUGCUAUUCGUAUACAAAGCUCUAAACAAUCUUGCUCCUCCCUAUCUCUCUGAGUUGAUUAUAGUACACAAUCCAGCUAGAUCACUCAGAUCACAAACUAAGCAUCGGCUUUUGGUUCCCAGAACUAGAUUGAAAUGUAGGGGUGACAGAGUCUUUGCUGUUGCUAUCCCCAAGCUAUGGAACAAUUUGCCAUUAUGCAUCAGAAUAGCUUCUUCAAUGUCUGUGUUCAAAAGUCUUUUAAAGACUUAUCUUUUUUAAAGUGCUUUAUACUGUAAAUAAAUUGAAAAUUGAACAAUGAUGAACUGACUUUAAGUGUAAAA